RNAcentral lists this ribosomal RNA (460 nucleotides) under uncultured bacterium. RNAcentral's name for it is "partial 16S ribosomal RNA". It matches the Rfam family "Bacterial small subunit ribosomal RNA", at positions 338 to 795 of the family's 1533-position model. The record is from RNAcentral.
CCUACGGGGGGCAGCAGUGAGGAAUAUUGGUCAAUGGACGGAAGGCUGAACCAGCCAAGCCGCGUGAGGGAGGAAGGCGCAGAGCGUUGCAGACCUCUUUUGCCGGGGGACAAAAGGCCGGACGGGUCCGGUUCUGAGGGUACCCGGUGAAAAAGCAUCGGCUAACCCCGUGCCAGCAGCCGCGGUAAUACGGAGGAUGCGAGCGUUAUCCGGAUUUAUUGGGUUUAAAGGGUGCGGAGGUGGGCCUUUAAGUCGGCGGUGAAAUUGUGGGGCUCAACCCCGCCCGAGCCGUCGAAACUGGGGGCCUUGAGUGCGGCAGAGGCGUGCGGAAUUCGCGGUGUAGCGGUGAAAUGCAUAGAUAUCGCGCAGAACCCCGAUUGCGAAGGCAGCGUGCCGGACCGCCACUGACGCUGAGGCACGAAAGCGCGGGGAUCGAACUGGAUUAGAUACCCCGGUAGUC